AGAGUUUGAUCCUGGCUCAGGACGAACGCUGGCGGCGCGCUUAACACAUGCAAGUCGAGCGAGAACCGGUCUUCGGACCGGGGAAAGCGGCGAACGGGUGAGUAACACGUGAGUAAUCAACCCUCGGCACCGGGAUAGCUCGGGGAAACCCGAAUUAAUACCGGAUGGCCCAUCCGCCUUUCGGGGCGGCUGGAAAAGGUAGCUUCGGCCUCUGGCCGGGGACGAGCUCGCGGCGGAUUAGCUUGUUGGCGGGGUAAUGGCCCACCAAGGCGACGAUCCGUAGCUGGUCUGAGAGGACGAUCAGCCACACUGGGACUGAGACACGGCCCAGACUCCUACGGGAGGCAGCAGUGGGGAAUCUUGCGCAAUGGGCGAAAGCCUGACGCAGCGACGCCGCGUGAGGGACGAAGGCCUUAGGGUUGUAAACCUCUUUCAGGAGAGACGAAGCCACUCGGGUUAAUAGCCCAGAGGGUGACGGUAUCUCCAGAAGAAGCCCCGGCUAACUACGUGCCAGCCGCCGCGGUAAUAC
Molecule: ribosomal RNA, 529 nt
Filed under: uncultured bacterium
Lineage: Bacteria
Description: bacterial SSU rRNA
Rfam family: Bacterial small subunit ribosomal RNA
Source: RNAcentral